RNAcentral lists this ribosomal RNA (449 nucleotides) under uncultured bacterium. RNAcentral describes it as "partial 16S ribosomal RNA". It matches the Rfam family "Bacterial small subunit ribosomal RNA", at positions 29 to 523 of the family's 1533-position model. The record is from RNAcentral.
AACGAACGCUGGCGGCAUGCCUAACACAUGCAAGUCGAACGAAGCCUUCGGGCUUAGUGGCGCACGGGUGCGUAACGCGUGGGAAUCUGCCCUUUGGUUCGGAAUAACAGUUGGAAACGACUGCUAAUACCGGAUGAUGACGAAAGUCCAAAGAUUUAUCGCCAGAGGAUGAGCCCGCGUAGGAUUAGCUAGUUGGUGUGGUAAAGGCGCACCAAGGCGACGAUCCGUAGCUGGUCUGAGAGGAUGAUCAGCCACACUGGGACUGAGACACGGCCCAGACGCCUACGGGAGGCAGCAGUGGGGAAUAUUGGAGAAUGGGCGAGAGCCUGAUACAGCCAUGCCGCGUGAGUGAUGAAGGCCCUAGGGUUGUAAAGCUCUUUUACCCGGGAUGAUAAUGACAGUACCGGGAGAAUAAGCCCCGGCUAACUCCGUGCCAGCCGCCGCCGUAA